GUGGGGAAUAUUGGACAAUGGGCGCAAGCCUGAUCCAGCCAUGCCGCGUGUGUGAAGAAGGCCUUAUGGUUGUAAAGCACUUUAAGCGAGGAGGAGGCUACUUUAGAUAAUACCUAGAGAUAGUGGACGUUACUCGCAGAAUAAGCACCGGCUAACUCUGUGCCAGCAGCCGCGGUAAUACAGAGGGUGCAAGCGUUAAUCGGAUUUACUGGGCGUAAAGCGCGCGUAGGCGGCUAAUUAAGUCAAAUGUGAAAUCCCCGAGCUUAACUUGGGAAUUGCAUUCGAUACUGGUUAGCUAGAGUGUGGGAGAGGAUGGUAGAAUUCCAGGUGUAGCGGUGAAAUGCGUAGAGAUCUGGAGGAAUACCGAUGGCGAAGGCAGCCAUCUGGCCUAACACUGACGCUGAGGUGCGAAAGCAUGGGGAGCAAACAGGAUU
This 434-nucleotide ribosomal RNA is filed under the name uncultured Acinetobacter sp. Its description in RNAcentral is "bacterial SSU rRNA". It matches the Rfam family "Bacterial small subunit ribosomal RNA", at positions 354 to 779 of the family's 1533-position model. The record is from RNAcentral. Lineage: Bacteria; Pseudomonadati; Pseudomonadota; Gammaproteobacteria; Moraxellales; Moraxellaceae.